UCCUGGUGGCUCAGACAGUAAAGAAUCUGCCUGAAAUGCAGGAGACCCAGGUUCCAUCCCUGGGUCAGGAA
RNAcentral lists this transfer RNA (71 nucleotides) under Bos taurus (domestic cattle). It matches the Rfam family "tRNA". Rfam says of the family: Transfer RNA (tRNA) molecules are approximately 80 nucleotides in length. Their secondary structure includes four short double-helical elements and three loops (D, anti-codon, and T loops). Further hydrogen bonds mediate the characteristic L-shaped molecular structure. tRNAs have two regions of fundamental functional importance: the anti-codon, which is responsible for specific mRNA codon recognition, and the 3' end, to which the tRNAs corresponding amino acid is attached (by aminoacyl-tRNA synthetases). tRNAs cope with the degeneracy of the genetic code in two manners: having more than one tRNA (with a specific anti-codon) for a particular amino acid; and 'wobble' base-pairing, i.e. permitting non-standard base-pairing at the 3rd anti-codon position. The record is from Rfam by way of RNAcentral. RNAcentral also lists the same sequence under 3 other names. Lineage: Eukaryota; Metazoa; Chordata; Mammalia; Artiodactyla; Bovidae.